RNAcentral lists this ribosomal RNA (747 nucleotides) under uncultured bacterium. RNAcentral describes it as "bacterial SSU rRNA". It matches the Rfam family "Bacterial small subunit ribosomal RNA", at positions 26 to 769 of the family's 1533-position model. The record is from RNAcentral.
AGGAUGAACGCUAGCGGCAGGCUUAAUACAUGCAAGUCGAGGGGCAGCACGGGUAGCAAUAUCUGGUGGCGACCGGCGCACGGGUGCGUAACACGUAUACAAUCUACCCUUAACAGGGGGAUAGCCCUCCGAAAGGAGGAUUAAUACCCCAUAAUAAAUUGAAUGGCAUCAUUUGAUUUUGAAAGUUCCGACGGUUAAGGAUGAGUAUGCGUCUGAUUAGCUAGUUGGUGAGGUAAAGGCUCACCAAGGCAACGAUCAGUAGGGGAUCUGAGAGGACUACCCCCCACACUGGUACUGAGACACGGACCAGACUCCUACGGGAGGCAGCAGUAAGGAAUAUUGGUCAAUGGUGGCAACUCUGAACCAGCCAUGCCGCGUGCAGGAAGACGGCCCUAUGGGUUGUAAACUGCUUUUGUACGGGAGAAAACCCUUUCACGUGUGAGAGGUUGAUAGUACCGUAAGAAUAAGCAUCGGCUAACUUCGUGCCAGCAGCCGCGGUAAGACGAAGGAUGCAAGCGUUAUCCGGAUUCAUUGGGUUUAAAGGGAGCGUAGGUGGACUUGUAAGUCAGUGGUGAAAUCUCUCAGCUUAACUGAGAAACUGCCAUUGAUACUGCAGGUCUUGAGUACAGAUGAUGUGGGCGGAAUAUGACAUGUAGUGGUGAAAUACUUAGAUAUGUCAUAGAACACCGAUUGCGAAGGCAGCUCACAAAACUGUAACUGACACUGAGGCUCGAAAGUGCGGGGAUC